Molecule: long non-coding RNA, 245 nt
Filed under: Elaeis guineensis (African oil palm)
Lineage: Eukaryota; Viridiplantae; Streptophyta; Magnoliopsida; Arecales; Arecaceae
Description: long non-coding RNA (EGUI_LNC029021)
Source: RNAcentral
UGCAGUAACUACAUCUUGUUUCUUUUUUAGUAAUUUUUCUAUUCCUUUUCUAGUUCAUACUUUAUAAAAUAAUCCCAAGUGUUAGUUUUUUUUUUUCUUCGUCUCUUUAUUUGAGUUAUGGGCCCAACUGAUUUACUAUUUGUAUUUUCAAUAAUUUCACCAGAAGACAAUGUAUAACAACUACAUUUAAAAUGUGCAAGAAAUUUAUCUUGCAUCUCGGGUUAUGAUCAAACAAAGGAAAAAGU